This 253-nucleotide ribosomal RNA is filed under the name uncultured bacterium. RNAcentral's name for it is "partial 16S ribosomal RNA". It matches the Rfam family "Bacterial small subunit ribosomal RNA", at positions 524 to 776 of the family's 1533-position model. The record is from RNAcentral.
UACGUAGGGGGCUAGCGUUGUCCGGAAUCAUUGGGCGUAAAGCGCGUGUAGGCGGUUCGGUAAGUCCGCUGUGAAAGUCGGGGGCUCAACCCUCGGAUGCCGGUGGAUACUGUCGGACUAGAGUACGGAAGAGGCGAGUGGAAUUCCUGGUGUAGCGGUGAAAUGCGCAGAUAUCAGGAGGAACACCGGUGGCGAAGGCGGGUCUCUGGGCAGUAACUGACGCUGAGGAGCGAAAGCGUGGGGAGCGAACAGG